Molecule: long non-coding RNA, 627 nt
Filed under: Pan troglodytes (chimpanzee)
Lineage: Eukaryota; Metazoa; Chordata; Mammalia; Primates; Hominidae
Description: long non-coding RNA NONPTRT015052
Source: RNAcentral
CGAAGGGUGGGGUGUGCUGACAUUGGAAAACCACAUCAGACUUUAGAAAGGAAGAACUAGGUCAUGAAAGAAUUCAGGGAAAAGCGCUAGCAAAUUGGCCCCAUGGCGUAAUGUGAAUGGCAAGAAAAUGCAGCAGAAAAAAUUAUCACCGACGGCCGGACGCGGUGGCUCACGCCUGUAAUCCCAGCACUUUAGGAGGCUAAGUGGGGGCGGAUCACGAGAUCAGGAGAUCGAGACCAUCCUGGCUAACACGGUGAAACCCCCGUCUCUACUAAAAAUACAAAAAAUUAGCCUGGCGUGGUGGCGGAAGCCUGUAGUCCCAGCUACUCCGGAGGCUAAGGCAGGAGAAUGGGGUGAACCCGGGAGGUGGAACUUGCAGUGAGCCGAGCUCGCGCCACUGCACCCCAGCCUGGGUGACAGAGCGAGACUCCGUCUCAAAAAAAAAAAAAAAAUUAUCACCGAGCUCAAUCAAAGUAACUUGGGACUGCUGUUUCAACAGGAUUAGUAAUUUGCUAAUCAGUUUUCUAGUUCCUAAAUUCCUUUUGCUUAUAAGCAUUCAAAUGAAAUUGACACCACCAUAACUGGUUUUCAAAACCAUUUAGGUCUUUUGAGGUUGCAUCAUGGUUU